RNAcentral lists this ribosomal RNA (253 nucleotides) under uncultured bacterium. RNAcentral describes it as "partial 16S ribosomal RNA". It matches the Rfam family "Bacterial small subunit ribosomal RNA", at positions 524 to 776 of the family's 1533-position model. The record is from RNAcentral.
UACGUAGGGGGCAAGCGUUGUCCGGAUUUAUUGGGCGUAAAGGGCUCGUAGGCGGCCAACUAAGUCGGACGUGAAAUCCCUCAGCUUAACUGGGGAACUGCGUCCGAUACUGGAUGGCUUGGAUUCGGGAGAGGAAUGCGGAAUUCCCGGUGUAGCGGUGAAAUGCGCAGAUAUCGGGAAGAACACCCGUGGCGAAGGCGGCUCUCUGGGACGGUACUGACGCUGAGACGCGAAAGCGUGGGGAGCGAACAGG